GACGAACGCUGGAGGCGUGCUUAACACAUGCAAGUCGAACGAUGAAAUGGAGCUUGCUCCAUGGAUUAGCGGCGAACGGGUGAGUAACACGUGAAUAACCUGCCCUUAAUUUUGGAAUAACCCAGGGAAACCUGGGCUAAUACCGGAUAAGUAAACCUGUGGCAUCACAUGGUUUUGGAAAGUUUUUCGAUUAAGGAUGGAUUCGCGGCCUAUCAGCUUGUUGGUGAGGUAAUGGCUCACCAAGGCGACGACGGGCAGCCGGCCUGAGAGGGUGAACGGCCACACCGGGACUGAGACACGGCCCAGACUCCUACGGGAGGCAGCAGUGGGGAAUAUUGCGCAAUGGACGAAAGUCUGACGCAGCGACGCCUCGUGAGGGACGAAGGUCUUCGGAUUGUAAACCUCUUUCAGCAGGGACGAAGCGAAAGUGACGGUACCUGCAGAAGAAGCACCGGCUAACUAUGUGCCAGCCGCCGCCGUAA
This 482-nucleotide ribosomal RNA is filed under the name uncultured bacterium. Its description in RNAcentral is "partial 16S ribosomal RNA". It matches the Rfam family "Bacterial small subunit ribosomal RNA", at positions 28 to 523 of the family's 1533-position model. The record is from RNAcentral.